Molecule: ribosomal RNA, 254 nt
Filed under: uncultured bacterium
Lineage: Bacteria
Description: partial 16S ribosomal RNA
Rfam family: Bacterial small subunit ribosomal RNA
Source: RNAcentral
UACGUAGGGUGCGAGCGUUGUCCGGAAUUAUUGGGCGUAAAGAGCUCGUAGGCGGUGUGUCGCGUCGGCCGUGAAAACCUGGGGCUUAACUCUGGGCGUGCGGUCGAUACGGGCAUCACUAGAGUUCGGUAGGGGAGACUGGAAUUCCUGGUGUAGCGGUGAAAUGAGCAGAUAUCAGGAGGAACACCGGUGGCGAAGGCGGGUCUCUGGGCCGAGACUGACGCUGAGGAGCGAAAGUGUGGGGAGCGAACAGG